UACGGGGGGAGCAAGCGUUGUUCGGAUUUACUGGGCGUAAAGGGCGCGUAGGCGGCCACGACAAGUCACUUGUGAAAUCUCCGGGCUUAACUCGGAACGGUCAAGUGAUACUGUCGGGCUAGAGUGCGGAGGGGGCAACUGGAAUUCUCGGUGUAGCGGUGAAAUGCGUAGAUAUCGAGAGGAACACCUGCGGCGAAGGCGGGUUGCUGGGCCGACACUGACGCUGAGGCGCGAAAGCUAGGGGAGCGAACGGG
This 254-nucleotide ribosomal RNA is filed under the name uncultured bacterium. RNAcentral describes it as "partial 16S ribosomal RNA". It matches the Rfam family "Bacterial small subunit ribosomal RNA", at positions 524 to 776 of the family's 1533-position model. The record is from RNAcentral.